AAUAUUGCGCAAUGGAGGAAACUCUGACGCAGCGACGCCGCGUGAGCGAUGAAGGCCUUCGGGUCGUAAAGCCCUGUCCUCAGGGAAGAAAACGAUGACGGUACCUGGGGAUGAAGCCCCCGCUAACUACGGGCCAGCAGCCGCGGUAAUACGUAGGGGGCAAGCGUUGUCCGGAAUUAUUGGGCGUAAAGGGUGCGUAGGCGGCUUAUUAAGUCUGAGGUGAAAGACCACGGCUUACCCGUGGGGUUGCAUUGGAAACUGGUGGGCUUGAGUGUCGGAGAGGACAGUGGAAUUCCUAGUGUAGCGGUGAAAUGCGUAGAUAUUAGGAGGAACACCAGUGGCGAAGGCGACUGUCUGGACGACAACUGACGCUGAGGCACGAAAGCUAGGGGAGCGAAC
RNAcentral lists this ribosomal RNA (399 nucleotides) under uncultured bacterium. Its description in RNAcentral is "partial 16S ribosomal RNA". It matches the Rfam family "Bacterial small subunit ribosomal RNA", at positions 360 to 773 of the family's 1533-position model. The record is from RNAcentral.